Molecule: ribosomal RNA, 355 nt
Filed under: uncultured bacterium
Lineage: Bacteria
Description: partial 16S ribosomal RNA
Rfam family: Bacterial small subunit ribosomal RNA
Source: RNAcentral
CCUACGGGAGGCAGCAGUGGGGAAUAUUGCACAAUGGGGGAAAGCCUGAAGCAGCAACGCCGCGUGAGGGAUGACGGCCCUCGGGUUUUAAAGCUCUGUCUGCAGGGGCGAUAAUGACGGUACCUGAGGGGGAAGCCACGGCUAACUACGUGACAGCAGCCGCGGGCAUACGUAGGGGGCGCGCGGUGACCCGAUUUACUGGGCGUAAAGGGAGCGUAGGCGGGAUUUUAAGUGAGAUGUGAAAUACUCGGGGUCAACGUGCGUGGUGCAUUUCAAACCGGAAGUCUAGAGUGCACGAGAGGAGAAUGGAAUGCCUGGUGUAGCGGUGAAAUGCGUAGAGAUUAGGCAGAACACC